UUAAUUGAUUUCUUCGGAAUGAAGUUUUUGUGACUGAGUGGCGGACGGGUGAGUAACGCGUGGGUAACCUGCCUCAUACAGGGGGAUAACAGUUGGAAACGACUGCUAAUACCGCAUAAGCGCACGGGAUUGCAUGAUCCAGUGUGAAAAACUCCGGUGGUAUGAGAUGGACCCGCGUCUGAUUAGCCAGUUGGCGGGGUAACGGCCCACCAAAGCGACGAUCAGUAGCCGACCUGAGAGGGUGACCGGCCACAUUGGGACUGAGACACGGCCCAAACUCCUACGGGAGGCAGCAGUGGGGAAUAUUGCACAAUGGGGGAAACCCUGAUGCAGCGACGCCGCGUGAGCGAAGAAGUAUUUCGGUAUGUAAAGCUCUAUCAGCAGGGAAGAAGAAUGACGGUACCUGACUAAGAAGCACCGGCUAAAUACGUGCCAGCAGCCGCGGUAAUACGUAUGGUGCAAGCGUUAUCCGGAUUUACUGGGUGUAAAGGGAGUGCAGGCGGUACGGCAAGUCUGAUGUGAAAUCCCGGGGCUCAACCCCGGUACUGCAUUGGAAACUGUCGGACUAGAGUGUCGGAGGGGUAAGUGGAAUUCCUAGUGUAGCGGUGAAAUGCGUAGAUAUUAGGAGGACACCAGUGGCGAAGGCGGCUU
Molecule: ribosomal RNA, 651 nt
Filed under: uncultured Lachnospiraceae bacterium
Lineage: Bacteria; Bacillati; Bacillota; Clostridia; Lachnospirales; Lachnospiraceae
Description: bacterial SSU rRNA
Rfam family: Bacterial small subunit ribosomal RNA
Source: RNAcentral